Molecule: transfer RNA, 67 nt
Filed under: Marmota monax (woodchuck)
Lineage: Eukaryota; Metazoa; Chordata; Mammalia; Rodentia; Sciuridae
Description: tRNA.Ala
Source: RNAcentral
GGUUGUGGCUCAGUGGUAGAGCACUUGCCUAGCACAUGCCAGGCCCUGGGUUCAAUCCUCAGCACCA